This 142-nucleotide ribosomal RNA is filed under the name Cronobacter universalis NCTC 9529. RNAcentral describes it as "Large Subunit Ribosomal RNA; lsuRNA; LSU rRNA". It matches the Rfam family "Bacterial large subunit ribosomal RNA", at positions 767 to 908 of the family's 2925-position model. Lineage: Bacteria; Pseudomonadati; Pseudomonadota; Gammaproteobacteria; Enterobacterales; Enterobacteriaceae. The record is from RNAcentral.
UGGAGGACCGAACCGACUAAUGUUGAAAAAUUAGCGGAUGACCUGUGGCUGGGGGUGAAAGGCCAAUCAAACCGGGAGAUAGCUGGUUCUCCCCGAAAGCUAUUUAGGUAGCGCCUCGUGAACUCAUCUCCGGGGGUAGAGC